GACGAACGCUGGCGGCGUGCCUAAUACAUGCAAGUUGAGCGCUGAAGGUUGGUACUUGUACCAACUGGAUGAGCAGCGAACGGGUGAGUAACGCGUGGGGAAUCUGCCUUUGAGCGGGGGACAACAUUUGGAAACGAAUGCUAAUACCGCAUAAAAACUUUAAACACAAGUUUUAAGUUUGAAAGAUGCAAUUGCAUCACUCAAAGAUGAUCCCGCGUUGUAUUAGCUAGUUGGUGAGGUAAAGGCUCACCAAGGCGAUGAUACAUAGCCGACCUGAGAGGGUGAUCGGCCACAGUGGGACUGGGACACGGCCCAAACUCCUACGGGAGGCAGCAGUAGGGAAUCUUCGGCAAGGGACGAAAGUCUGACCGAGCAACGCCGCGGGAGUGAAGAAGGUUUUCGGAUCGUAAAACUCUGUUGGUAGAGAAGAACGUUGGUGAGAGUGGAAAGCUCAUAAAGUGACGGUAACUACCCAGAAAGGGACGGCUAACUACGUG
Molecule: ribosomal RNA, 497 nt
Filed under: uncultured bacterium
Lineage: Bacteria
Description: partial 16S ribosomal RNA
Rfam family: Bacterial small subunit ribosomal RNA
Source: RNAcentral